This 253-nucleotide ribosomal RNA is filed under the name uncultured bacterium. RNAcentral describes it as "partial 16S ribosomal RNA". It matches the Rfam family "Bacterial small subunit ribosomal RNA", at positions 524 to 776 of the family's 1533-position model. The record is from RNAcentral.
UACGGAGGGUGCAAGCGUUAAUCGGAAUUACUGGGCGUAAAGCGCACGCAGGCGGUUUGGUAAGUCAGAUGUGAAAGCCCCGGGCUCAACCUGGGAAUUGCAUUUGAAACUGGCUAGCUAGAGUCUUGUAGAGGGGGGGAGAAUUCCAGGUGUAGCGGUGAAAUGCGUAGAGAUCUGGAGGAAUACCGGUGGCGAAGGCGGCCCCCUGGACCAAGACUGACGCUCAGGUGCGAAAGCGUGGGGAGCAAACAGG